AGCCCUGGGGACAGCCUUGGGGACACCUGGAGACACCUGGGGACACCUGGGGACAUCACAGCACAACCCCCAUGGGUCACCAAGGCUGGGGACCACCAGGGAUGGGACAUUUGGGGACAUUUGGGGACAUCACAGCACAACCCCUGUGGAUCAUUGAGGGUGGGGACCACCGGGGAUGGGACACUUGGUGACACUUGGUGACACUUGGUGACACUUGGUGACCUUUGAGCCGGGGCAGAGCUCCCGGAGCCGCAGCCCCCGCGGGAGGAGCGGCACUCGGGGCUCCGGGGGAACGGGAACGCAGCGAGGGCCCCGCCGCUCCCGGCUGGCUCCGGCCGCUGUCCCCUGUCCUGAGCCCGCUGUCACCUCCCCGGUGUCACCUCCCCGGUGUCCCCACAGCUGCUGAAGAUCGCCUUCGACGAGGAGGUGGCCUCGGACAGCGCCGAGAUCUUCCGGAAACAUCUGCACAAGCUGCGCUACCCCCAGCACGUGCGCGGCACCUUCGCCUUCACCGCGGGCCAGUCCCCCAAGCAGGCCAUGCAGCCCAAGGCCAAGGACAAGAACCCCUCGCUCAGGACGCUGUCCAAGAACCUGGUGAAGAACGCCAAGAGAACCAUCGGCCGGCAGUACGUCACCCGCAAGAAGUACACCCCGCCCGCCUGGGAACAGCGCGGCAGCCACAACUUCCCCGAGGACAACGAGGACGAGAUCUCAGGUGGGGAGAGGUGACACUGUCACCGUGCUGGGGACAGGGAGAGGUGACACUGUCCCUGCCUGGGGACAGGGAGAGGUGACACUGUCACUGCAGUGGGGACAGGGAGAGGUGACACUGUCCCUGCCUGGGGACAGGGAGAGGUGACACUGUCCCUGUGCUGGGGACAGGGAGAGGUGACACUGUCACUGCCUGGGGACAGGGAGAGGUGACACUGUCACUGCCUGGGGACAGGGAGAGGUGGCACUGUCACCAUAAUGGGGACAGGGAGAGGUGACACUGUCACUGCCUGGGGACAGGGAGAGGUGACACUGUCACUGUGGUGGGGACAGGGAGAGGUGACACUGUCACUGUGCUGGGGACAGGGAGAGGUGACACUGUCCCUGCCUGGGGACAGGGAGAGGUGACACUGUCCCUGUGCUGGGGACAGGGAGAGGUGACACUGUCCCUGCCUGGGGACAGGGAGAGGUGACACUGUCACUGCAGUGGGGACAGGGAGAGGUGACACUGUCACCAUGAUGGGGACAGAGAGAGGUGACACUGUCACUGCAGUGGUGACAGGGAGAGGUGACACUGUCACUGCCUGGGGACAG
This 1305-nucleotide long non-coding RNA is filed under the name Cyanistes caeruleus (blue tit). Its description in RNAcentral is "lncRNA (ENSCCEG00000004526.1)". The record is from RNAcentral. Lineage: Eukaryota; Metazoa; Chordata; Aves; Passeriformes; Paridae.